RNAcentral lists this ribosomal RNA (407 nucleotides) under Verrucomicrobiota bacterium. Its description in RNAcentral is "Verrucomicrobia bacterium partial 16S ribosomal RNA". It matches the Rfam family "Bacterial small subunit ribosomal RNA", at positions 355 to 776 of the family's 1533-position model. The record is from RNAcentral. Lineage: Bacteria; Pseudomonadati; Verrucomicrobiota.
UGGGGAAUAUUGGACAAUGGAGGCAACUCUGAUCCAGCAAUUCUGUGUGUGUGAAGAAGGUUUUAGGACUGUAAAACACUUUUAGUAGGGAAGAAAGAAAUGACGGUACCUACAGAAGAAGCGACGGCUAAAUACGUGCCAGCAGCCGCGGUAAUACGUAUGUCGCGAGCGUUAUCCGGAAUUAUUGGGCUUAAAGGGCAUCUAGGCGGUUAAACAAGUUGAAGGUGAAAACCUGUGGCUCAACCAUAGGCUUGCCUACAAAACUGUAUAGCUAGAGUACUGGAAAGGUGGGUGGAACUACACGAGUAGAAGUGAAAUUCGUAGAUAUGUGUAGGAAUGACGAUGAUGAAGAUAACUCACUGGACAGCAACUGACGCUGAAGUGCGAAAGCUAGGGGAGCAAACAGG